UGUCCAGAAAAAGGAGGCAAUCAAAGGCUGCAUUUCAGGGCUCAAGCCAAGCAGCCGGUUGUCGGAGGUCCGAGAAUCGUCAAUUGCAUCAGUGUGACCACUACCAGAAUGCGGCCGGCGGCGCGGUGACCUGAGGUCACAACGGAUCGUGGGCGGAUCACGCAGCUGGCGUGGCGAGUGGCCCUGGCAGGUGUCGCUGCACCAGCGUAACCCUCAUACGGGACAGCUGCUGAGCCAGCACUGCGGCGGUACCCUGAUCGACCCCGGCUGGGUGCUCACCGCCGCCCACUGCAUUGUCGACCCACUCUUUGGAUUCACCAUCCCUCCUGUAUUCUGGAUAGUCAAGAUGGGACACAUCGAGCUCAACGACAAAACACCACCGAUGCUGGCGGGCGUCUCAAAGAUCAUCACUCAUAAG
RNAcentral lists this long non-coding RNA (418 nucleotides) under Amphibalanus amphitrite. RNAcentral describes it as "uncharacterized LOC122372392, transcript variant X2". Lineage: Eukaryota; Metazoa; Arthropoda; Thecostraca; Balanomorpha; Balanidae. The record is from RNAcentral.